RNAcentral lists this ribosomal RNA (1911 nucleotides) under Salmonella enterica subsp. enterica serovar Agama. Its description in RNAcentral is "partial 23S ribosomal RNA". It matches the Rfam family "Bacterial large subunit ribosomal RNA", at positions 911 to 2802 of the family's 2925-position model. Lineage: Bacteria; Pseudomonadati; Pseudomonadota; Gammaproteobacteria; Enterobacterales; Enterobacteriaceae. The record is from RNAcentral.
UGUUUCGGCUAGGGGGCCAUCCCGGCUUACCAACCCGAUGCAAACUGCGAAUACCGGAGAAUGUUAUCACGGGAGACACACGGCGGGUGCUAACGUCCGUCGUGAAGAGGGAAACAACCCAGACCGCCAGCUAAGGUCCCAAAGUCAUGGUUAAGUGGGAAACGAUGUGGGAAGGCCCAGACAGCCAGGAUGUUGGCUUAGAAGCAGCCAUCAUUUAAAGAAAGCGUAAUAGCUCACUGGUCGAGUCGGCCUGCGCGGAAGAUGUAACGGGGCUAAACCAUGCACCGAAGCUGCGGCAGCGACGCUGAUGCGUUGUUGGGUAGGGGAGCGUUCUGUAAGCCUGUGAAGGUGGCCUGUGAGGGUUGCUGGAGGUAUCAGAAGUGCGAAUGCUGACAUAAGUAACGAUAAAGCGGGUGAAAAGCCCGCUCGCCGGAAGACCAAGGGUUCCUGUCCAACGUUAAUCGGGGCAGGGUGAGUCGACCCCUAAGGCGAGGCCGAAAGGCGUAGUCGAUGGGAAACGGGUUAAUAUUCCCGUACUUGGUGUUACUGCGAAGGGGGGACGGAGAAGGCUAUGUUGGCCGGGCGACGGUUGUCCCGGUUUAAGCGUGUAGGUGUGUGUUCCAGGUAAAUCCGGUUCACUUUAACACUGAGGCGUGAUGACGAGGCACUACGGUGCUGAAGCAACAAAUGCCCUGCUUCCAGGAAAAGCCUCUAAGCAUCAGGUAACAUCAAAUCGUACCCCAAACCGACACAGGUGGUCAGGUAGAGAAUACCAAGGCGCUUGAGAGAACUCGGGUGAAGGAACUAGGCAAAAUGGUGCCGUAACUUCGGGAGAAGGCACGCUGACACGUAGGUGAAGUGAUUUACUCACGGAGCUGAAGUCAGUCGAAGAUACCAGCUGGCUGCAACUGUUUAUUAAAAACACAGCACUGUGCAAACACGAAAGUGGACGUAUACGGUGUGACGCCUGCCCGGUGCCGGAAGGUUAAUUGAUGGGGUCAGCGCAAGCGAAGCUCCUGAUCGAAGCCCCGGUAAACGGCGGCCGUAACUAUAACGGUCCUAAGGUAGCGAAAUUCCUUGUCGGGUAAGUUCCGACCUGCACGAAUGGCGUAAUGAUGGCCAGGCUGUCUCCACCCGAGACUCAGUGAAAUUGAACUCGCUGUGAAGAUGCAGUGUACCCGCGGCAAGACGGAAAGACCCCGUGAACCUUUACUAUAGCUUGACACUGAACAUUGAGCCUUGAUGUGUAGGAUAGGUGGGAGGCUUUGAAGUGUGGACGCCAGUCUGCAUGGAGCCGACCUUGAAAUACCACCCUUUAAUGUUUGAUGUUCUAACGUGGACCCGUGAUCCGGGUUGCGGACAGUGUCUGGUGGGUAGUUUGACUGGGGCGGUCUCCUCCUAAAGAGUAACGGAGGAGCACGAAGGUUGGCUAAUCCUGGUCGGACAUCAGGAGGUUAGUGCAAUGGCAUAAGCCAGCUUGACUGCGAGCGUGACGGCGCGAGCAGGUGCGAAAGCAGGUCAUAGUGAUCCGGUGGUUCUGAAUGGAAGGGCCAUCGCUCAACGGAUAAAAGGUACUCCGGGGAUAACAGGCUGAUACCGCCCAAGAGUUCAUAUCGACGGCGGUGUUUGGCACCUCGAUGUCGGCUCAUCACAUCCUGGGGCUGAAGUAGGUCCCAAGGGUAUGGCUGUUCGCCAUUUAAAGUGGUACGCGAGCUGGGUUUAGAACGUCGUGAGACAGUUCGGUCCCUAUCUGCCGUGGGCGCUGGAGAACUGAGGGGGGCUGCUCCUAGUACGAGAGGACCGGAGUGGACGCAUCACUGGUGUUCGGGUUGUCAUGCCAAUGGCACUGCCCGGUAGCUAAAUGCGGAAGAGAUAAGUGCUGAAAGCAUCUAAGCACGAAACUUGCCCCGA